UACGUAGGGUGCAAGCGUUGUCCGGAAUUAUUGGGCGUAAGGAGCUCGUAGGCGGUUUGUCGCGUCUGCUGUGAAAACUCGGGGCUUAACUCCGGGCCUGCAGUGGGUACGGGCAGACUAGAGUGCGGUAGGGGAGACUGGAAUUCCUGGUGUAGCGGUGAAAUGCGCAGAUAUCAGGAGGAACACCGGUGGCGAAGGCGGGUCUCUGGGCCGUAACUGACGCUGAGGAGCGAAAGCGUGGGGAGCGAACAGG
This 253-nucleotide ribosomal RNA is filed under the name uncultured bacterium. RNAcentral's name for it is "partial 16S ribosomal RNA". It matches the Rfam family "Bacterial small subunit ribosomal RNA", at positions 524 to 776 of the family's 1533-position model. The record is from RNAcentral.